GAUAAUGACCAAACCUGUUACCUCCAUUGAAACCGCCGCCUUCCCAAUUUGACGCCUCCCCUGCUCCAGCUCUCUCCACAAAAUUUUCGACCCGGAUUCCACCGCCUCCGCUGCCGCUGUUGUCGCCGCCACCACCAGAGUUGAUUUCGGUGUUGUUCAGUUUGUUCCCGUCACCGAUUGCUCCUCCUUCUCCGGUGUGAUUUCGGCGUUCUGCCGUUGCCCCAUUUCUGCGAUGUUGGCGGCGCCAAAUUUCGCCUAAGCUCGUGCCCUCUGCCUCUCAUCCCACCAUUCCGGAUAUCCCACUCGUAGAAAGCAAUUCUCCCUUGUGUGUUUAUUUUUCCCACAGUGGGAGCACCACAGCUUGCUCUUAUCAGGUUUUACUCCGGUUUGGUGUGUGGCUCCUCCGGCAGGUGGCGGUCGCGGUCCAUUCUGGUUAAUCGGUCGGUCUCUUUGCGCUCCAAAUCAGUAACCUAUCUCCCCCGACGAUGCAUCGGCACUUCCUACACCAGAGACGUCUCCGAUGAGUGAAGAGGACGCCAGUGGCAUGAUUUUCCGUCGAGCCGCCUCCCUCAUCACAUAUCCGUAGGCUUCUUCGACUGAGGGGUAUGGCUCUAGUUUGAGGAUGUCAGCCGGAUCCCAGCGAACUCCUCAUUCAAUCCGGUGAGGAAUUUGAUCAACGUUUCUCACUCGAGUGUUACUGGAACUGCUUGACCCCUUUAUCACAGCACGUCACCGGCGAUUUUUGGAUUCUGUCGACACGCACCCGCAAACCGUGGAUUCGACGGUAAUAAGUCUCGAGAUCCAUAUUCCCUUGUCUUAUUGAGAUUACCUUGUCUUCCAGGUCAUAUAUGAGGUAUGGAUCCGCCUUGCUCUCGAAGGUGAUUUGUAAGUUGUCCCAUAGCGCUUUGGACGUCUGGUGAUGGGCAAAAUCGGCGAGAAUUUCAAUUUCGAUAUUGUCGACGAUCCAUGAGAAAACCACGAGAUCGGCCUCCUCCCACUCGCGGUAUCCCUUGCUAUCUAGUUCGGGUGGUUCGUAGGUGAUAUGGGAGUAUCCCCUUCUACUCCCUAUCGCGACCUUUAUUAGUCGUGACCACAACGGGUAGUUCUUCCCGUUUAAUUUGAACACCACGGAAAGGGACUGGUUUUUGUGUUUGGUUUUGGUUUCUUGGCCGAGAAUUGGAUAUGAAAUAGGCUGUGAUGAAAGUUUUCUUAGCCAUAAUUUCUCCUGCUCUGACACCAUGAAGAAACGAAUUGGGGGAUAAUUUCUGUAAUCUUAUGGCUUGAUUUAUAAUUACAGUGGCUACAGCCUUUUAUAUGCAAAGGAUUCAA
This is a non-coding RNA of Salvia hispanica, 1329 nucleotides long. NCBI's taxonomy places the organism in Eukaryota, Viridiplantae, Streptophyta, Magnoliopsida, Lamiales, Lamiaceae. The record is from RefSeq and is a predicted model, not a curated record.